GGGGAUUUAGCUCAGCGGUAGAGCGCUUGCCUGUCGAGCGCAAGGCCCUGGGUUCGGUCCCCAGCUCCG
RNAcentral lists this transfer RNA (69 nucleotides) under Rattus norvegicus (Norway rat). It matches the Rfam family "tRNA". From Rfam's summary of the family: Transfer RNA (tRNA) molecules are approximately 80 nucleotides in length. Their secondary structure includes four short double-helical elements and three loops (D, anti-codon, and T loops). The record is from Rfam by way of RNAcentral. Lineage: Eukaryota; Metazoa; Chordata; Mammalia; Rodentia; Muridae.